GAUGAAGAACGCAGCGAAAUGCGAUACGUAAUGUGAAUUGCAGAAUUCAGUGAAUCAUCGAGUCUUUGAACGCACAUUGCGCCCCCUGGUAUUCCGGGGGGCAUGCCUGUCCGAGCGUCAUUGCUGCCCUCAAGCACGGCUUGUGUGUUGGGCCUCCGUCCUCCUCCCGGGGGACGGGCCCGAAAGGCAGCGGCGGCACCGCGUCCGGUCCUCGAGCGUAUGGGGCUUCUUCACCCGCUCUUGUAGGCCCGGCCGGCGCUUGCCGACACAUCAAUCUUUUUUCCAGGUUGACCUCGGAUCAGGUAGGGAUACCCGCUGAACUUAAGCAUAUCAAUAAGCGGAGGA
Molecule: unclassified non-coding RNA, 345 nt
Filed under: soil metagenome
Description: partial contains 5.8S ribosomal RNA, internal transcribed spacer 2, and large subunit ribosomal RNA
Rfam family: 5.8S ribosomal RNA (bases 1-120)
Source: RNAcentral